GACGAACGCUGGCGGCGUGCUUAACACAUGCAAGUCGAACGGUAAGGCCCUUCGGGGUACACGAGUGGCGAACGGGUGAGUAACACGUGGGUGAUCUGCCCUGCACUUCGGGAUAAGCCUGGGAAACUGGGUCUAAUACCGGAUAGGACUCCUGGCUUCAUGGUUGGGGGUGGAAAGCUUUUGCGGUGUGGGAUGGGCCCGCGGCCUAUCAGCUUGUUGGUGGGGUAAUGGCCUACCAAGGCGACGACGGGUAGCCGGCCUGAGAGGGUGACCGGUCACACUGGGCCUGAGAUACGGCCCAGAAUCCUACGGGAGGCAGCAGUGGGGAAUAUUUCACAAUGGGCGCAAGCCUGAUGCAGCGACGCCGCGUGAGGGAUGACGGCCUUCGGGUUGUAAACCUCUUUCAGCUAUGACGAAGCGCAAGUGACGGUAGUAGCAGAAGAAGGACCGGCCAACUACGUGCCAGCCGCCGCCGUAA
RNAcentral lists this ribosomal RNA (478 nucleotides) under uncultured bacterium. RNAcentral's name for it is "partial 16S ribosomal RNA". It matches the Rfam family "Bacterial small subunit ribosomal RNA", at positions 28 to 523 of the family's 1533-position model. The record is from RNAcentral.